Aptenodytes forsteri (emperor penguin) is the source of this 1300-nucleotide long non-coding RNA. RefSeq lists it as uncharacterized. Lineage: Eukaryota; Metazoa; Chordata; Aves; Sphenisciformes; Spheniscidae. The record is from RefSeq and is a predicted model, not a curated record. The transcript has 3 exons.
UAUGCUUUUCUGGACCAUUGUAGGAGGCAUACGGUUAUGAUGAUGACAACUGCAACCACAGUACGAUCUGCAUGUUUUUAACAUCUCUCUCAGAUACUUAAUGCACCGUCAUGCUGGACCAACUGCGCUGCGCUCCCAGCUAUUUCCUCACUGCUCACCCAUCUUGAGUAUCUGAAGGAUGGUGUGGAUUGCACUUGUUUUGGCAAAGAAAACUCUGCCGAGUCAGAGCAAAGCUUGCCCACCAGAGCUGAGAAGAUUUCACUGUCUGAAGAAGUUACCUCAUGGAAGAGGCUGGUAUGGAGAUGAAUGUAGACUGUGACAGGCUCUGCAUUAUCUUCAGUAUCUGUAACACCAAUGGGCAAGUAAACACAAGCCAACACUGUUUCUUUAAUAUUUCACAAAUUUUUAUAUUUGUGUUUUUCCUUAUUUUGGAGUCAAAUUGAAUGGUACAUCAUAUCUCAUCUUUUAAAACAGGAGCAAGUUGCACAUAAUGAACUUUUUUUUUUUUUCACUAGUGUUUCUCUUAUUUGCUAUUUCUUCCUGAAACUUUAUUUACAGAUAGCUUUUAUUCUCUCCAGAAUUGUGAUUUUGAAAAUUCUGAAAUUCAAGUCACACAGGUUACCUAAAAUGCAAUCUGUGAGUGGGUGUCACAAUACUUCAGCUCUGCUUACACCAGGAGAACUCUAGUGUUUUAAAGACCGCUGUGUAUCAUUUUUAUGCCAACCAGUUAUCAAGAAGACAUUAAAUUGGGAGAAGUAUUAUGUGAUGGAUAAGCUUUGUGUAUUAGAAACACCCUGGUCAUUCAAUAUUUAGUCUACAGUUUGAGUCUCAUCUUGUGUAAUGCUGCAACAUGCUAUUAAAAACAGCAGCUGUUCACUCUAGGGAUGGUUGCACUUCAUUUGUGAACAAAGUGAUUCCCGUGUGUAUCAUGACAAGGUAUAUUCUCUGUCAUACCUUGAAACUCAAGCAAGUCCAACCGAUGUAAAAUUGACUUGAAUAAUUGAAACAGAAUUUGUCCUACGUGUUCUCAUUGUUAAGCUUUAUAAAGCAUUUAUGAUCCAUGCAAAUGAAGACAACUCAUGUAUAUUAAUGCAAUGCUAUUAUUCUAAUUAUCUUUGCAUAUGGCAUAGUAAAUAUAAAGUUAAAGCAAGAUGGAAUUGAAUAUUCAUAAUUUAGCUCACAGCACAUGACAGAUGUUUUAUGCUGAGAAUUAAUGCUGUGUGAAGUUAUAUAUAACUUUGAUAGGCUUUAAUUUGACUGCUUAUGUUAUCUAGCAUAUGUCUAUUCUGUCCUUGAUUAU